This is a long non-coding RNA of Sebastes umbrosus (honeycomb rockfish), 160 nucleotides long. RefSeq lists it as uncharacterized. The record is from RefSeq and is a predicted model, not a curated record. Lineage: Eukaryota; Metazoa; Chordata; Actinopteri; Perciformes; Sebastidae. The transcript has 3 exons.
UAGUUUCAUCUCAUGCUAGUAUCUUCACUCUAGCUUUAAAACUGAGCCAUUACAAGCAAAAAAUCGCAGGUUGCGUUAAUGUAUUAAAUAAAGUAUUGGCAUUAAAACAAAUUUGCAUUAACGCGUUAUUAUCGCAUUGACUUUGACAGCCCUAUUUAAU